RNAcentral lists this ribosomal RNA (426 nucleotides) under uncultured Actinomycetes bacterium. Its description in RNAcentral is "bacterial SSU rRNA". It matches the Rfam family "Bacterial small subunit ribosomal RNA", at positions 958 to 1385 of the family's 1533-position model. Lineage: Bacteria; Bacillati; Actinomycetota; Actinomycetes. The record is from RNAcentral.
AACGCGAAGAACCUUACCAAGGUUUGACAUGGCCGGAAAAGCCGCAGAGAUGCGGUGUCCUUCGGGGUCGGUCACAGGUGGUGCAUGGCUGUCGUCAGCUCGUGUCGUGAGAUGUUGGGUUAAGUCCCGCAACGAGCGCAACCCUCGUCCUAUGUUGCCAGCGGGUCAUGCCGGGGACUCAUGGGAGACUGCCGGGGUCAACUCGGAGGAAGGUGGGGAUGACGUCAAGUCAUCAUGCCCCUUAUGUCUUGGGCUGCAAACAUGCUACAAUGGCCGGUACAGAGGGCUGCGAACUCGCGAGGGUAAGCGAAUCCCGGAAAGCCGGUCUCAGUUCGGAUCGGGGUCUGCAACUCGGCCCCGUGAAGCUGGAGUCGCUAGUAAUCGCGGAUCAGCAACGCCGCGGUGAAUACGUUCCCGGGCCUUGUA